CAGCCGCCGCGGUAAUACGUAGGUGGCAAGCGUUGUCCGGAAUUAUUGGACGUAAAGGGCUCGCAGGCGGUUUCUUAAGUCUGAUGUGAAAGCCCCCGGCUCAACCGGGGAGGGCCAUUGGAAACUGGGAAACUUGAGUGCAGAAGAGGAGAGUGGAAUUCCACGUGUAGCGGUGAAAUGCGUAGAGAUGUGGAGGAACACCAGUGGCGAAGGCGACUCUCUGGUCUGUAACUGACGCUGAGGAGCGAAAGCGUGGGGAGCGAACAGGAUUAGAUACCCCCGUAGUCCCUGUCUCUUAUAC
RNAcentral lists this ribosomal RNA (301 nucleotides) under uncultured bacterium. Its description in RNAcentral is "partial 16S ribosomal RNA". It matches the Rfam family "Bacterial small subunit ribosomal RNA", at positions 509 to 807 of the family's 1533-position model. The record is from RNAcentral.